RNAcentral lists this ribosomal RNA (491 nucleotides) under uncultured bacterium. RNAcentral's name for it is "partial 16S ribosomal RNA". It matches the Rfam family "Bacterial small subunit ribosomal RNA", at positions 28 to 507 of the family's 1533-position model. The record is from RNAcentral.
GAUGAACGCUGGCUACAGGCUUAACACAUGCAAGUCGAGGGGAAACGACGGGGAAGCUUGCUUCCCCGGGCGUCGACCGGCGCACGGGUGAGUAACGCGUAUCCAACCUGCCUCUGACUGAGGGAUAACCCGUCGAAAGUCGGCCUAAUACCUCAUGGUAUCGUCUGCGGGCAUCCAACGACGAUUAAAGAUUUCAUCGGUCAGGGAUGGGGAUGCGUCUGAUUAGCUUGUUGGCGGGGUAACGGCCCACCAAGGCUACGAUCAGGAGGGGUUCUGAGAGGAAGGUACCCCACGUUGGAACUGAGACACCGUCCAAACUGCUACGGGCGGCAGCAGUGAGGAAUAUUGGUCAAUGGGCGAGAGCCUGAACCAGCCAAGUAGCGUGCAGGAAGACGGCCCUAUGGGUUGUAAACUGCUUUUAUGCGGGGAUAAAGUGAGGGACGGGUCCCUCAUUGCAGGUACCGAAUGAAUAAGGACCGGCUAAUUCCGUG